Molecule: ribosomal RNA, 465 nt
Filed under: Vreelandella stevensii
Lineage: Bacteria; Pseudomonadati; Pseudomonadota; Gammaproteobacteria; Oceanospirillales; Halomonadaceae
Description: partial 16S ribosomal RNA
Rfam family: Bacterial small subunit ribosomal RNA
Source: RNAcentral
CCUACGGGUGGCAGCAGUGGGGAAUAUUGGACAAUGGGCGAAAGCCUGAUCCAGCCAUGCCGCGUGUGUGAAGAAGGCCUUCGGGUUGUAAAGCACUUUCAGUGGGGAAGAAAGCCUUGGGGCUAAUACCCUCGAGGAAGGACAUCACCCACAGAAGAAGCACCGGCUAACUCCGUGCCAGCAGCCGCGGUAAUACGGAGGGUGCGAGCGUUAAUCGGAAUUACUGGGCGUAAAGCGCGCGUAGGCGGUCUGAUAAGCCGGUUGUGAAAGCCCCGGGCUCAACCUGGGAACGGCAUCCGGAACUGUCAGGCUAGAGUGCAGGAGAGGAAGGUAGAAUUCCCGGUGUAGCGGUGAAAUGCGUAGAGAUCGGGAGGAAUACCAGUGGCGAAGGCGGCCUUCUGGACUGACACUGACGCUGAGGUGCGAAAGCGUGGGUAGCACACAGGAUUAGAUACCCGAGUAGUC